ACUGGGACUGAGACACGGCCCAGACUCCUACGGGAGGCAGCAGUGGGGAAUUUUCCGCAAUGGGCGCAAGCCUGACGGAGCAAUACCGCGUGAGGGAGGAAGGCCUUUGGGUUGUAAACCUCUUUUCUUAAGGAAGAAGAUCUGACGGUACUUAAGGAAUCAGCAUCGGCUAACUCCGUGCCAGCAGCCGCGGUAAUACGGAGGAUGCAAGCGUUAUCCGGAAUUAUUGGGCGUAAAGCGUCCGCAGGCGGCAUUAUAAGUCUGCUGUCAAAGACCGCAGCUCAACUGCGGAAAGGCAGUGGAAACUGUAAAGCUAGAGUACGGUAGGGGUAGAGGGAAUUCCCAGUGUAGCGGUGAAAUGCGUAGAUAUUGGGAAGAACACCAGUGGCGAAAGCGCUCUACUGGGCCGUAACUGACGCUCAGGGACGAAAGCUAGGGGAGCGAAAGGGAUUAGAUACCCCUGUAGUCCUAGCUGUAAACGAUGGAUACUAGGCGUAGCUUGUAUCGACCCGAGCUGUGCCGAAGCUAACGCGUUAAGUAUCCCGCCUGGGGAGUACGCACGCAAGUGUGAAACU
RNAcentral lists this ribosomal RNA (575 nucleotides) under uncultured cyanobacterium. Its description in RNAcentral is "bacterial SSU rRNA". It matches the Rfam family "Bacterial small subunit ribosomal RNA", at positions 312 to 901 of the family's 1533-position model. Lineage: Bacteria; Bacillati; Cyanobacteriota. The record is from RNAcentral.